Molecule: ribosomal RNA, 465 nt
Filed under: uncultured bacterium
Lineage: Bacteria
Description: partial 16S ribosomal RNA
Rfam family: Bacterial small subunit ribosomal RNA
Source: RNAcentral
GACGAACGCUGGCGGCGUGCUUAACACAUGCAAGUCGAACGGAAAGGCCCCUUUGGGGGUACUCUAGUGGCGAACGGGUGAGUAACACGUGAGUAACCUGCCCUUGACUUCGGGAUAACUGCAGGAAACUGGGGCGAAUACCGGAGAGGAAUCCUUGCUGCAGGGUGGGGGGGGGAAAGCUUCGGCGGUUUUGGAUGGACUCGCGGCUUAGCAGCUUGUUGGUGGGGGAGUGGCUUACCAAGGCGUUGACGGGUAGACGGACAGUGAGGGUGACAGGCGACAUUGAGACUGAGAUGCGGCACAGAUUCCUAAGGGAGGCAGCAGUGGGGAAGAUUGCACAAUGGGCGGCAGCCUGAUGCAGAAGCGCCGCGUGCGGGAUGACGGUCUUCGGGUUGUAGACCGCUUUCAGCAGGGGCGAAGCUUGUGGUGACGGUACCUGCAGAAGAAGCACCGGCUAACUACGUG